Molecule: long non-coding RNA, 738 nt
Filed under: Pan troglodytes (chimpanzee)
Lineage: Eukaryota; Metazoa; Chordata; Mammalia; Primates; Hominidae
Description: long non-coding RNA NONPTRT008535
Source: RNAcentral
GCACGGAGCAGUUAGGGAUUUGCUUUUUUGGUAAAGAGGGUAUCUGGGAGAAACUGCACUCAAACUUCCUCAGCCACACUCAACAUGGCAGCUUCCUAGCCACGCCCAAAAUGGCGGAACCCUUUGCCGUAGCUGGAGAGACGCUAUUUUCCCAAAAUGGAGCGGAGGAGGAAAAUGUCCAUCACAGCUUCACCCCGCCCCCCGCAGACGGCUAGCACCAAUUAGUAGCGCGCAGAGCGAGUACAAAGCUAGGGGAGGAGCCUGCUGUUGCCCCAGCAACAACCACGGAAACCAAGGCGAGCGCGGUCGCGGAAGUAUCGCGGCUUACAUAUCUCGCAGCCAGGCGGGUCCUGGGAGAGGCGCGAGCCAGGCCUGGUCGGCGCCCGCGGAGAAAAGAAGCAGUCAAGCCCAUGAACUACAACCCCGGUUGCCGCUUUCUCCUCUCCUAACCGUUAAGUGCGCUAAGGGCCAUGGCUGAGGUGCACGUGAUCGGGCAGAUCAUGGGGGCCAGCGGUUUCUCGGAAAGUAGCCUCUUCUGCAAGUGGGGCAUUCACACAGGGAGUUGCUGGGGAUGUUGAUCCAGCCAAGAAUACUGAGGCAGUUGGAUGAAAGGCUUGGGCUCUGCAGUUAGAGCUGAGUCUGAAUCCAGUCCCAUGAUGGGACCUUGGUCUGCUAUAGUCACUGCUAUGUCACCAGCAUGGAAAACAGUGCUUGGCACAUAGCAGGUGCUGAAUAAAU